RNAcentral lists this ribosomal RNA (253 nucleotides) under uncultured bacterium. RNAcentral's name for it is "partial 16S ribosomal RNA". It matches the Rfam family "Bacterial small subunit ribosomal RNA", at positions 524 to 776 of the family's 1533-position model. The record is from RNAcentral.
AACGUAGGUGGCGAGCGUUAUCCGGAUUUCCUGGGCGUAAAGGGUGUGCAGGCGGGCUGUUAAGUGGUGUAUGAAAUAUCCCGGCUCAACCGGGAGAGGUUAUGCCAGACUGGCAGUCUAGAGAGCGAGAGAGGGACGUGGAAUUCCGGGUGUAGUGGUGAAAUGCGUAGAGAUCCGGAGGAACCCCAGAGGCGAAGGCGGCGUCCUGGCUCGCAUCUGACGCUCAGACACGACAGCAUGGGGAGCGAACGGG